GACGAACGCUGGCGGCGUGCUUAACACAUGCAAGUCGAGCGGAAAGGCCCUUCGGGGUACUCGAGCGGCGAACGGGUGAGUAACACGUGGGUAACCUGCCCUUCACUCUGGGAUAACUCCGGGAAACCGGGGCUAAUACCGGAUACGACCACUUUAGGCAUCUUCGGUGGUGGAAAGUUUUUCGGUGGAGGAUGGACCCGCGGCCUAUCAGCUUGUUGGUGGGGUAAGUA
RNAcentral lists this ribosomal RNA (230 nucleotides) under uncultured bacterium. RNAcentral describes it as "partial 16S ribosomal RNA". It matches the Rfam family "Bacterial small subunit ribosomal RNA", at positions 28 to 263 of the family's 1533-position model. The record is from RNAcentral.